AAGGGCACCACAAGAACGCGUGGAGCAUGUGGCUUAAUUUGACUCAACGCGGGAAAUCUUACCGGGUCCGGACAUACUGAGGAUUGACAGGCGAUUGAGGUUUAGAGCACUUGUGUUCUUUUCCUCUAUAAAUAUGCUAGUCCUUUCAUGAUUGUGUGAUAGGUGGUGCAUGGCCGUUCUUAGUUCGUGGAGUGAUCUGUCUGCUUAAUUGCGUUUCACAAAGGACUCUCUAACUUCUGUCUGAUGCGCGACACUCCGGUGUUUGUUGCACGGCAGAGAAGACGUCCUGAAGGCAACGAACGUGACCGCAACCUCUUGUUGCCUCCUUUGCUUUCCAUAGCAACAUGGAUUGUGUUUACUUGUGUCUUCCCGACACUAGUUUCGCUGUCCUGCAUGGAGUUUUUGCCAACUAGAGGGACCGCUGACAACUUUUAAAACAGAGGAAGGUUGCGGCAAUAACAGGUCUGUGAUGCCCUUAGAUGUUCCGGGCUGCACACGUGCUACAAUGAUUAUUGCAGUGAGCAUCUAUUCUUUACAAGGCUGUUGUCUGUGUUUGGUCUCUGACUAGACACAGCGCGGCUAACUAACCUUCUUCGAAAGUAAGAAGGUAAUCAAUUCGAAGUAAUGAUUUCCUUUUCGCACAUACUUAUAUCUCUUGUUGUGGUCGUGCUUUCAGCUUGUCUGUCAGUAUUGUUUAUCACCUGGAGAUAUGUGCUCCAUUAAUUCGUGGUGGGGACAGACCAUUGUUAAUUGUUGGUCUCGGUCUCAACUAGGAAUGCCUUGUACGGGUCUUUGGUUCAACAAACCACCCGGAAUAUGUCCCUGCCCUUUGUACACACCGCCCGUCA
RNAcentral lists this ribosomal RNA (848 nucleotides) under Allogromida sp. micrometula_like. RNAcentral describes it as "SSU rRNA". It matches the Rfam family "Eukaryotic small subunit ribosomal RNA", at positions 1160 to 1678 of the family's 1831-position model. Lineage: Eukaryota; Foraminifera. The record is from RNAcentral.